CGGUGGUUAUGGCGGAGGGGAAACACCUGUUCCCAUUCCGAACACAGCAGUUAAGCCCUCUGGCGUCGAUGGUACUACUCGGGAGACCGUGUGGGAGAGUAGAAAGCCGCCGGGAGU
This 117-nucleotide ribosomal RNA is filed under the name Candidatus Zixiibacteriota bacterium. Lineage: Bacteria; Pseudomonadati; Candidatus Zixiibacteriota. The record is from RNAcentral.